CGUAGGUGGCAAGCGUUAUCCGGAAUUAUUGGGCGUAAAGAGGGAGCAGGCGGCAGCAAGGGUCUGUGGUGAAAGACUGAAGCUUAACUUCAGUAAGCCAUAGAAACCGGGCAGCUAGAGUGCAGGGAGAGGAUCGUGGAAUUCCAUGUGUAGCGGUGAAAUGCGUAGAUAUAUGGAGGAACACCAGUGGCGAAGGCGACGAUCUGGCCUGCAACUGACGCUCAGUCCCGAAAGCGUGGGAGCAAAUAGGAUU
Molecule: ribosomal RNA, 253 nt
Filed under: uncultured bacterium
Lineage: Bacteria
Description: partial 16S ribosomal RNA
Rfam family: Bacterial small subunit ribosomal RNA
Source: RNAcentral